UACGUAGGUGGCAAGCGUUAUCCGGAUUUAUUGGGCGUAAAGGGAACGCAGGCGGUCUUUUAAGUCUGAUGUGAAAGCCUUCGGCUUAACCGGAGUAGUGCAUUGGAAACUGGGAGACUUGAGUGCAGAAGAGGAGAGUGGAACUCCAUGUGUAGCGGUGAAAUGCGUAGAUAUAUGGAAGAACACCAGUGGCGAAAGCGGCUCUCUGGUCUGCAACUGACGCUGAGGCUCGAAAGCAUGGGUAGCGAACAGG
RNAcentral lists this ribosomal RNA (253 nucleotides) under uncultured bacterium. RNAcentral's name for it is "partial 16S ribosomal RNA". It matches the Rfam family "Bacterial small subunit ribosomal RNA", at positions 524 to 776 of the family's 1533-position model. The record is from RNAcentral.